Molecule: ribosomal RNA, 364 nt
Filed under: uncultured bacterium
Lineage: Bacteria
Description: partial 16S ribosomal RNA
Rfam family: Bacterial small subunit ribosomal RNA
Source: RNAcentral
CCUACGGGAGGCUGCAGUGAGGAAUCUUGGUCAAUGGGCGUAAGCCUGAACCAGCCAAGUCGCGUGAGGGAUGAAGGUUCUAUGGAUCGUAAACCUCUUUUAUCAGGGAAUAAAGUGCGGUACGUGUCCCGUUAUGUAUGUACCUUCUGCAUAAGGAUCGGCUAACUCCGUGCCAGCAGCCGCGGUAAUACGGAGGAUCCGAGCGUUAUCCGGCUUUAUUGGGUUUAAAGGGUGCGUAGGCGGCCUUUUACGUCAGCGGUGAAAGUCUGUGGCUCAACCAUAGAAUUGCGGGUGAAACUGGGAGGCUUGAGGAUGUUUGAGGCAGGCGGAAUGCGUGGUGUAGCGGUGAAAUGCUUAGAUAUCA